CCUGCCGGAGGCCAUUGCUAUCGGGGUCCGAUUCAGCCAUGCUAGUUGUACGGGUUUAGACCCGUAGCAAAUAGCUCCGUAACACGUGGUCAAACUACCCUCUGGACCAGAAUACCCUCGGGAAACUGAGGUUAAUUCCGGAUACUGCUUUCAUGUUGGAACACAGAAAGUCGGAAACGGUCCGCCGCCGGAGGACGUGACUGCGGCCGAUUAGGUAGACGGUGGGGUAACGGCCCACCGUGCCGAUAAUCGGUACGGGUUGUGAGAGCAAGAACCCGGAGACGGUAUCUGAGACAAGAUACCGGGCCCUACGGGGCGCAGCAGGCGCGAAACCUUUACACUGCACGCCAGUGCGAUAAGGGGACCCCGAGUGCGAGGGCAUACAGUCCUCGCUUUUCGUGACCGUAAGAAGGUCUCAGAAUAAGAGCUGGGCAAGACCGGUGCCAGCCGCCGCGGUAAUACCGGCAGCUCGAGUGAUAGCCACUAUUAUUGGGCCUAAAGCGUCCGUAGCCGGCCGAACAGGUCCGUCGGGAAAUCCACCCGCUCAACGGGUGGACGUCCGGCGGAAACCAGUCGGCUUGGGGCCGGGAGACCAGAGAGGUACGUCCGGGGUAGGAGUGAAAUCCUGUAAUCCUGGACGGACCGUCGGUAGCGAAAGCGUCUCUGGAGAACGGACCCGACGGUGAGGGACGAAAGCUUGGGUCUCGAACCGGAUUAGAUACCCGGGUAGUCCAAGCUGUAAACGAUGCUCGCUAGGUGUGGCGUUGGCUACGAGCCAGCGCUGUGCCGUAGGGAAGCCUAGAAGCGAGCCGCCUGGGAAGUACGUCCGCAAGGAUGAAACUUAAAG
RNAcentral lists this ribosomal RNA (847 nucleotides) under Halococcus sp. RNAcentral describes it as "bacterial SSU rRNA". It matches the Rfam family "Archaeal small subunit ribosomal RNA", at positions 13 to 861 of the family's 1478-position model. The record is from RNAcentral. Lineage: Archaea; Methanobacteriati; Methanobacteriota; Halobacteria; Halobacteriales; Halococcaceae.